RNAcentral lists this ribosomal RNA (474 nucleotides) under uncultured bacterium. RNAcentral's name for it is "partial 16S ribosomal RNA". It matches the Rfam family "Bacterial small subunit ribosomal RNA", at positions 33 to 541 of the family's 1533-position model. The record is from RNAcentral.
AACGAACGCUGGCGGCAGGCCUAACACAUGCAAGUCGAGCGAGGACUUCGGUCCUAGCGGCGGACGGGUGAGUAACGCGUGGGAACGUGCCCUUUGCUUCGGAAUAGCCCUGGGAAACUGGGAGUAAUACCGGAUGAGCCCUUUGGGGGAAAGAUUUAUCGGCGAAGGAUCGGCCCGCGUUGGAUUAGGUAGUUGGUGGGGUAAUGGCCUACCAAGCCGACGAUCCAUAGCUGGUUUGAGAGGAUGAUCAGCCACACUGGGACUGAGACACGGCCCAGACGCUGAGGGGAGGCAGCAGGGGGGAAUCGUAGACAGGGGGGGAACACAUGAACUGGCGACGCGGGGUGAGAGAUGAAGGGCAUAGUGUUGUAAGGCCAUUCUGAGAGGGAAGAUAAUGACGAUACAAGAAGAAGAACCCGCGGCUAACUCCGCGCCAGCGGCCGGGGUAAGAAUCGGAGGGGCAGACGUCUGAAC